UCAAAGGGGAAAACAAGUCACAUACAAGGAAUUUCCCAUUGCUCUUUUCUUUUUUUAAUAAUGCUAACCAGUUAAUGUGCCUCAACUGUUCUCCAUGUCAGCUCCUUGCUGUUCUGGCUCCUUGAGGGUGGCCCUGUCUAACUGCCUAUGAGGUAUCGAAUUAACUUAACUGUCUACAAUAUUCCCCCCUCUGAAGAAGUAACCCAGUGAGGUCAAUGAUAACUUUUUAAGGAUUCCCUAGUAUACAGAUGCAUCCUAUUCAGUCUAAUUUCUUCUCUUAGGCAUCCCAAAUCAUGCUGGUGUUGUGUAUUAUAAACAAUACUGCAGGAACAUCAUUGUAAACAAGUCCUUGCUUCUUUUCUGAAUUUUGUUUUCAUUAACAUGAACUCCCAAAGUGAGUUUGCUGAAUCAAAAGUGUAUGUAUUUCAGCCAGGCAUAGUAGCAUGCACCUGUAGUUCCAAAUACUUAGGAGCCUGAGGCGGAAGAUCACUUGAGCCCAUGAAGUAGAGACCAGCCUGGGCAAUACAGUGAGACGCCAUUUUUAAAGGGGGGGGGUAUGUAUUUCAGUUAUCUCUUGCUAGGUAAGAAACUACUCCAAAACCUAGUGAUUUAAAACAACAAUGAAUUAUCUCUUACAAUUCUGAGCAUGGCAGGAGCCCAUCUUGGGUUUCUUGGAAACCACGUCUGAGGGUGUAUUUCAUGGGAGGAGCCUGCGGUGGAAGGUUCCAGAUGUCCUUUCACACACAUCGGGCAGAUGGAGCUGGGGCUGGGCUGGGGUACUUGGUUCUCCUCCAUGUGGCCUCUCAGCCUCAAGUAGGCAUUGUGCCAUCACAGGGCUUCCACAGGACAAUAGCAGAAGCCACAAGAGCACAGUACCCUCCAUGUCCAAAUGCUUGAAUUGGUGUGGUAUUUCUGCCGCUAUAGCAUGGCCAAUAGAGUGGUCAAAGCAAGCCCAGGGCCAGCUCAGACUCAAGAGGGCAUAGAACAGAUUCCAAUAAUGUCCUCCAGGGCCUUGGAGGUCCCACCCUCCUGCAUCUCCAGCCAGGGGACUCUGUUGGCUCUGGCCACAUGGACCCUCUGGGUUGUGUUUGGAAGGCACUAGCUUCCCCUGCAUGUGUUGUCAUCUGGGCUGGAAUCCUCUCCCUAGCACCCAAGUUCUUUCCCUCCUGUCAAUAGCUUUGUCGAGGCAGAAUUCACAUAUCAUACAGUUCACCCAUUCAAGUGUAUGGGUCAGUGGUUGUCAGCAUAUUCAGAAUUGUGAGACCAUAAUCAUAGUUUUAGAACAUUUUCAUCGCAUCAAAUAGAAACCCUGUGCCCUUUAGCUCUUGCCCCUUCCCUGUCUUCUUCAGACCUAAACACAACCUCUAAUCUUUCUCCCUGCAGAUUUUCCUUUUCUGGAUAUUUCUUAUAAUGGAAUCAUAUAUGGUUUUUGUGACCAGUUUCUUUCACUUAGUUUAAUAUUCUCAGGGCUCAUCCAUGUUGCAUGAAACAGUCUUUUUUUUCCCUUCUCUUCUCUUUUCUUCUCUCUCUCUCUAUUAUUAUUAUUAUUAUUUUUUUGUCCUGGAGACCAAACCCAGGCUUUGCACAUACCACAAACACUCUAUCACUGAACUACACCUCCGGCCCCCGUCAUUUAUUUUUAAGAUGGAAUCCUUCUCGAUUGUAUUGUAUGGAUAAAUCACAUUUUGUGUAUCCAUCUAUCCAUUAAUGGGCAUUUGGUUGUUUCUACAUUUUGGCUCUUAUAAGUAUUGCUACUAUGAACAUUCAUGUGCAAGUUUCUGUGUGGACCUGUUUUCAUUUCUUUCAGGUAUACACCUAGGUGUGAAUUGCUGGAUUACAUGGGCCUGGGGACAGGCUGAGAGGCUCCAACCCUGGAGAGCCUGCAGAAUCAAGAAGGACCAGUCCUUGUUCCAUGCUAUUUCGGCUGUGGCGAAAUAGAUUCACAGGUUUGUUGCUGAGUUUUGGGCACUGGGUGAGAAUGGCUAUUGGAUGUGUGCAGCCCAAAGAGAAGGCCUGCUGUGGAAUCCGCUUUCCCAUCAGGGUCCUUUCUGGACGUGAGCCACAGACUUCCUGCAUCAGGAUUCCUCGGGAAGCCUGUUAAAGUGCAUACUCCUAUGUGUUUCUCAGACUGCAAGCUCAGCUUCUGUGGGCCUGGCCCAGGGCCUGCAUUUGCAUGAACUCCAGGUGGAUUCUGAUGCACACUCAGUCCAGGAACCCUGGAGCUGGAAACAACUUUCUCUCAGCUGUGUGGACAUCACCUUGUGUCCAUUUCCUCCUCAUCUUCCCUGUAAGGACACUGCUUGUGCUUCCAGGCUCACUUCUGUGCCACCUCUUCAGAGAGACCACCCUCACCCUUUCCCACUGCCCCAUCAGAAUCCGAUGAACUGUCACACGACUGGCACCGGGCAGCUGGCCUGUAGCAGAGCUGUGACUCACAUGUCGUUUUUGCAGAUGGCAGACUGGUAGGGGGACAUCCCAUAGAUUCUUCUGGAAACUGUCAAGAUACUGGGAAGAUAAUUACAAAGCUUGCGUAGACUGGGAUGCCCACACUUUGGACUUUGCAAGACCUAAAAUACAAAACAAAACAGAUAGCACUUGUAGUGGCAAAGCUGGAACUAAAACUCGGGUUUCAUCACUUGGUCAUGCAUUUGUUUACCCAUUCAUUCAACCAGUUGUGAAAGAACCCUUCGGUUUCAGACUCCACCAAGUCUUGAACACCAACACAUUGUGACAGCAAGAAAAGUACAACUGAAAACAGAUAGUGGAAGAUCAUUCUAAGAGGCCUGGACAGAGUCAUUUGGAGUUACUGAAUGCAAUGAGAAAGUGUUAUGUAUUCUGUGUAGUGAAAGUGUUGUGUGUUGCAUGUCAAGGGUCAGAUGACAUUUUGACACUAAGCACAAAAGUGUUGCUGAAUUUGGUGACACUGAAAGGAAAGCGUCUGAAGCGAAAUUGAGGAAAUAUCAUUCCCACUAUCUUAGUUUUUGCAACUAUCUUUCUAAAACAAAUCAUCUGCCAGCUGCCAGCUUUCAAAUUUCACUGUGCAUAGCAAAACAUGUAAGCUCCUCUCUGAUGGAGAUUUUAUCAAAAUGGCUAUGUUGUCUGGGAGUGAUUCCAUUUUUCAUGAUUUCCCAAACAAGGAUAAAAUAAUGCAACACAUCUCUGAGAUGCCACUUAGCAGAAAUACUGUUAAAGAUCGAGUCCUGCGCAUGGCAGGUGAUGUUAGUCAGCAGCUCACCACUGACUUACAGAAGGCAGCCUGUUACUCCAUGUGCUUGUAUGAAAGCACAGAUGUAAAUAAUCAUGGAAGGCUAGGAAUAAUUUUGCCUUAUGCACUUGGUGACAUCAUGAGAGAAGAGCUGGUGAAACUGGUGUCUUUGCCUGGAAGAAGAAGGGAUAGAUAUCUACACAGCUGUGAUGGAGGAUUUUUUGGUCACAGGCAUAAGACCAGAAAAAGUGGUUUCCAUUACUAGUGAUGGAACACCUUGCACGGUUGGGGCAACACCUGGCUUCAUACAAUUCUUUGUUAAAGACGCAAAUCAUCCAGUCAUUCAGUUUCAUUGUAUUAUACAUCAAGAAGCUCUUUGUGCCAGGAAAAGCAGCAAAAAAUUAGAUGAUAAUCUCAAAGAUGUCACAAAAAUGGUGAAUUACAUCAUGGCUCAUGCUCUUAAUUUUUGACAGUUUCAAGCACUCCUUGAUAAGGUUCAGGCCCAGCAUAAUUCUUUACUUAUGUACAAUAAUGUCUGGGGUGGCUGAGCAAAGGACGAGUCCUUGAGAGAUUUGUAGAUUUGCUUGGAUGAAAUUAGGCUGUUUAUGAAUGAAAAAGGGCAGGAAUAUCCAUAGCUCACUGAUAUGGCCUGGGUUAGCAAUCUCAUGGUUUUUGUUUGUUUUACAGAUUUUACACUACACUUCAAUGUACUAAAAAAAAAAUUACAAGGUGUAGGGAAAACAGCAGAAAGAAUGUUUUGUGAUAUCAAAAUAUUUGAGAGAAAACAGCAGGUUUUUGAAAGAGACAUUGAAAGUGGGCAGCUGAAAUAUUUUCCAAAUCUAAAAAUGUAUUUAGAAAAUUCUGCAACAUUUGAAGACAAUCCUACAAGCCAUCAGGAAAUCUACAAGGAAUUUUCUAGCAUUGUAGCAGCUGCAAAGGAGAAUUUUAGUAACAGAUUUUUACAGUGCUGUAAGAUGGAGACAACCCUGUGCUUUCUUAUUUUAGUAGAUAAAGUCAAAUUUGAAGAACUUGACCUUUCCUGCUUAAACUGGUUAGAUUUUAGAAAUGUAGAAAUCAAGCUAUUGGAAUUUCAAGAAAGCUCUAUCUGGAAAAAAUAAAUUCUAUGACCCAUGUGCAACUCUUGAAAAGACAGAGAUACUAGAAUGUAAGGGGAUGACAAAGGACAGCGCAGUGGGUAGUGCUGAGAAUGAAAUCCUUAAAGUGUGGAAUUCUCUGCCAAAUAAUUUUAAGUCAAUUAAAGCACUUGGGAUUGCCUUUCUUACUUUGUUUGGCUCAUCUUAAGCUUGUGAGCAGCUGUUUUCAGCUUUGAAUUAUAUCAAAUCUGAUACAAGAAACAGACUGACAGAUAAUCUGAGUGCUGCAUGUGUUGCUCCCAAACUAACAAAGUGUGAGCCAAAGUUUGACAAAUAACAGCAUACAACAGCAAAGAUCACAUUAAUUGUGCAAAAGCACACCAAAU
Non-coding RNA from Heterocephalus glaber (naked mole-rat), 4685 nucleotides. NCBI's taxonomy places the organism in Eukaryota, Metazoa, Chordata, Mammalia, Rodentia, Bathyergidae. The record is from RefSeq and is a predicted model, not a curated record.